GACGAACGCUGGCGGCGUGCUUAACACAUGCAAGUCGAACGCUGAAGCUUGGUGCUUGCACCGGGUGGAUGAGUGGCGAACGGGUGAGUAAUACGUGAGUAACCUGCCCUUGACUCUGGGAUAAGCCUGGGAAACUGGGUCUAAUACUGGAUACGACAUGCCACUGCAUGGUGGUGUGUGGAAAGGGUUUUACUGGUUUUGGAUGGGCUCACGGCCUAUCAGCUUGUUGGUGGGGUAAUGGCCUACCAAGGCGACGACGGGUAGCCGGCCUGAGAGGGUGAGCGGCCCGGCUGGGACUGAGACACGGCCCAGCCUCCUACGGGAGGCAGCAGUGGGGAAUAUUGCACAAUGGGCGGAAGCCUGAUGCAGCGACGCCGCGUGAGGGAUGACGGCCUUCGGGUUGUAAACCUCUUUCAGCACGGAAGAAGCGAGAGUGAGGGUACGUGCAGAAGAAGCGCCGGCUAACUACGUG
RNAcentral lists this ribosomal RNA (472 nucleotides) under uncultured bacterium. Its description in RNAcentral is "partial 16S ribosomal RNA". It matches the Rfam family "Bacterial small subunit ribosomal RNA", at positions 28 to 507 of the family's 1533-position model. The record is from RNAcentral.